CAAUGUUCUAAACCCUUAAGCUCUAAGCUUUGCUUAAUAGUCCCUCCUUCCCUCCUCAGCCCCAGUACAUGCCCUUCGUCCCUCUGGCUUUCUUCCUAAGGUUUCUGCAUCUUCACAGGGCUUGGAAGGGGCACUCUCUUCAUCCAGAUUAUUGUGAUUCUUUCUUCAGGUUCCAGGAUUCUCUGAGAGAGCCUUCUCUUCCACAUCAGGGAGGAAAAUAUGGAGAGCCACAUGAUGACUGAUGAUAGGAGAGGGCUCCAAACCUCAAGGAAACAGUGCUGACUGAUGAAAUCAGAGCAUCUUGAGGGCAAGGCUGGGCCUUUGUUUGUGUUUCCUCAGGGCCUAGCAGAUGGUCUGGCCGAGAAUUACAUGACAAAAAUGGCAUUAGAGAAUGACAGAAGCAAAUCGUUGAUACGCUCUGUAAUGUUGUCUGAUAGACAUGAAGUUUAUGAAUCUCUUUAACAAAUGGAUUUGCAAACAACAUCUGGGAGAGAAGAAUUUCAUCAAG
Long non-coding RNA from Lutra lutra (Eurasian river otter), 508 nucleotides. RefSeq lists it as uncharacterized. NCBI's taxonomy places the organism in Eukaryota, Metazoa, Chordata, Mammalia, Carnivora, Mustelidae. The record is from RefSeq and is a predicted model, not a curated record. The transcript is spliced from 3 exons.